CCAGGGGGAGAUUCCGUAGGGUGACCUGCGGAGGGAUCAUUACCGAGUUUACAACUCCCAAACCCAAUGUGAACGUUACCAAACUGUUGCCUCGGCGGGAUCUCUGCCCCGGGUGCGUCGCAGCCCCGGACCAAGGCGCCCGCCGGAGGACCAACCAAAACUCUUAUUGUAUACCCCCUCGCGGGUUUUUUUAUAAUCUGAGCCUUCUCGGCGCCUCUCGUAGGCGUUUCGAAAAUGAAUCAAAACUUUCAACAACGGAUCUCUUGGUUCUGGCAUCGAUGAAGAACGCAGCGAAAUGCGAUAAGUAAUGUGAAUUGCAGAAUUCAGUGAAUCCUCGAAUCUUUGAACGCACAUUGCGCCCGCCAGUAUUCUGGCGGGCAUGCCUGUCCGAGCGUCAUUUCAACCCUCGAACCCCUCCGGGGGGUCGGCGUUGGGGAUCGGCCCUGCCUUGGCGGUGGCCGUCUCCGAAAUACAGUGGCGGUCUCGCCGCAGCCUCUCCUGCGCAGUAGUUUGCACACUGGCAUCGGGAGCGCGGCGCGUCCACAGCCGUUAAACACCCAACUUCUGAAAUGUGACCUCGGAUCAUGAGGAUGCCAGUGGAAUCCCC
RNAcentral lists this ribosomal RNA (607 nucleotides) under Trichoderma harzianum. RNAcentral describes it as "partial 18S ribosomal RNA". The stretch from base 244 to 397 matches the Rfam family "5.8S ribosomal RNA". The record is from RNAcentral. Lineage: Eukaryota; Fungi; Ascomycota; Sordariomycetes; Hypocreales; Hypocreaceae.